RNAcentral lists this ribosomal RNA (459 nucleotides) under uncultured bacterium. Its description in RNAcentral is "partial 16S ribosomal RNA". It matches the Rfam family "Bacterial small subunit ribosomal RNA", at positions 339 to 795 of the family's 1533-position model. The record is from RNAcentral.
CUACGGGUGGCUGCAGUGAGGAAUAUUGGGCAAUGGGCGCAAGCCUGACCCAGCCAUGCCGCGUGAAGGAUGAAUGCCCUACGGGUUGUAAACUUCUUUUGUACGGGACGAAACUUCCGAUCGCGAUCGGAACUGACUGUACCGUUCGAAUAAGCAUCGGCUAACUCCGGGCCAGCAGCCGCGGUAAUACGGGGGAUGCAAGCGUUAUCCGGAUUCAUUGGGUUUAAAGGGUGCGUAGGCGGAAUAGUAAGUCAGUGGUGAAAGCCUGCGGCUUAACCGUAGAAUUGCCAUUGAUACUGUUAUUCUUGAGUAUAGUUGAGGUGGGCGGAAUGUGUAAUGUAGCGGUGAAAUGCUUAGAUAUUACACAGAACACCAAUUGCGAAGGCAGCUCACUAAACUAUCACUGACGCUGAGGCACGAAAGCGUGGGGAGCGAACAGGAUUAGAUACCCGCGUAGUC